RNAcentral lists this ribosomal RNA (255 nucleotides) under Citrobacter freundii. RNAcentral's name for it is "partial 16S ribosomal RNA". It matches the Rfam family "Bacterial small subunit ribosomal RNA", at positions 345 to 592 of the family's 1533-position model. RNAcentral also lists the same sequence under 1 other name. The record is from RNAcentral. Lineage: Bacteria; Pseudomonadati; Pseudomonadota; Gammaproteobacteria; Enterobacterales; Enterobacteriaceae.
GAGGCAGCAGUGGGGAAUAUUGCACAAUGGGCGCAAGCCUGAUGCAGCCAUGCCGCGUGUAUGAAGAAGGCCUUCGGGUUGUAAAGUACUUUCAGCGAGGAGGAAGGCGUUGUGGUUAAUAACCGCAACGAUUGACGUUACUCGCAGAAGAAGCACCGGCUAACUCCGUGCCAGCAGCCGCGGUAAUACGGAGGGUGCAAGCGUUAAUCGGAAUUACUGGGCGUAAAGCGCACGCAGGCGGUCUGUCAAGUCGGA